GACGAACGCUGGCGGCGUGCCUAAUACAUGCCAGUAGAACGCUGAAGGAGGAGCUUGCUCUUCUGGAUGAGUUGCGAACGGGUGAGUAACGCGUAGGUAACCUGCCUGGUAGCGGGGGAUAACUAUUGGAAACGAUAGCUAAUACCGCAUAACAGUAGAUGUUGCAUGACAUUUGCUUAAAAGGUGCAAUUGCAUCACUACCAGAUGGACAUGCGUUGUAUUAGCUAGUUGGUGGGGUAACGGCUCACCAAGGCGACGAUACAUAGCCGACCUGAGAGGGUGAUCGGCCACACUGGGACUGAGACACGGCCCAGACUCCUACGGGAGGCAGCAGUAGGGAAUCUUCGGCAAUGGACGGAAGUCUGACCGAGCAACGCCGCGUGAGUGAAGAAGGGUUUCGGAUCGUAAAGCUCUGUUGUAAGAGAAGAACGAGUGUGAGAGUGGAAAGUUCACACUGUGACGGUAUCUUACCAGAAAGGGACGGCUAACUACGUG
RNAcentral lists this ribosomal RNA (495 nucleotides) under uncultured bacterium. Its description in RNAcentral is "partial 16S ribosomal RNA". It matches the Rfam family "Bacterial small subunit ribosomal RNA", at positions 28 to 507 of the family's 1533-position model. The record is from RNAcentral.